RNAcentral lists this ribosomal RNA (302 nucleotides) under uncultured bacterium. RNAcentral describes it as "bacterial SSU rRNA". It matches the Rfam family "Bacterial small subunit ribosomal RNA", at positions 28 to 349 of the family's 1533-position model. The record is from RNAcentral.
AGCGAACGCUGGCGGCAUGCUUAACACAUGCAAGUCGCACGGUUCGGGCUUCGGUUCGGGCAGUGGCGGACGGGUGAGUAUCGCGUAGGGAUUUGUCGUUGGGUGGGGGAUAACCUUGGGAAACGUGGGGCUAAUACCGCAUGACGCCUGUGGGCCAAAGCAGAGAUGCGCCUGAUGAGGAGCCUGCGUCCGAUUAGUUAGUUGGUGGGGUAAAGCUUACCAAGGCAGCGAUCGGUAGCUGGUCUGAGAGGAUGAUCAGCCACACUGGGACUGAGACACGGCCCAGACUCCGUACGGGAGGC